CGAGCCGGGCGGACGGCCGCGAGAGGUCCCCUUGGGGUUCCUUUCGAGGAACGUCCGGGCUCCACAGGGCAGGGUGGUGGGUAACGCCCACCCGGGGUGACCCGCGGGACAGUGCCACAGAAAGCAGACCGCCGGGGACCUCGGUCCCCGGUAAGGGUGAAACGGUGGUGUAAGAGACCACCAGCGCCUGAGGUGACUCAGGCGGCUCGGUAAACCCCACCCGGAGCAAGGUCAAGAGGGGCCGCCGCGAGGCGACCCUGCGCGGACGUUCGAGGGCUGCCCGCCCGAGUCUGCGGGUAGACCGCACGAGGCCGGUGGCAACACCGGUCCUAGAUGGAUGGCCGUCUCCCCGGCCGCCGCGAGGCGACCGGGUGACAGAACCCGGCGUACAGCCCGACUCGUCUG
RNAcentral lists this RNase P RNA (405 nucleotides) under Streptomyces sp. FIT100. RNAcentral describes it as "RNase P RNA component class A". It matches the Rfam family "Bacterial RNase P class A". Rfam says of the family: Ribonuclease P (RNase P) is a ubiquitous endoribonuclease, found in archaea, bacteria and eukarya as well as chloroplasts and mitochondria. Its best characterised activity is the generation of mature 5'-ends of tRNAs by cleaving the 5'-leader elements of precursor-tRNAs. Cellular RNase Ps are ribonucleoproteins. The record is from RNAcentral. Lineage: Bacteria; Bacillati; Actinomycetota; Actinomycetes; Kitasatosporales; Streptomycetaceae.